AUCCAGCUGACGAGUCCCAGACAGGAUGAGACUCGCGUCCUGGAU
Molecule: non-coding RNA, 45 nt
Organism: Schistosoma mattheei
Lineage: Eukaryota; Metazoa; Platyhelminthes; Trematoda; Strigeidida; Schistosomatidae
Source: Rfam